GAAAAUGAACAUGUUUUGAUUAUAUCUUUAAUAUCUGAGAAGCAAAGCAAAACAAUAGGAAUCAACCAAGCAUUUUUAGAGCAAACUGAGACCAGCAGCAGUUUCAGCUUAUUUAAUGUUUAACAUGUACGUUUUUCAUUUGUGCACCUAGAUUGUAGUAACUGUAAUAGUUAAUUAAAAACAUGUACGAUGUUUUUCUGCAGAUCAUGCUCAGCUGAAACAUUCUUUUACAUCUCAGCAAUGCUAAAACAUUUUUAUUGCCCUUGUUUUCAGGAGUGCACUUUCUUUAAAGAGGAGAUUUAUACGUGUAAAGGAAAAAAGUUAGGAACAAUGAAACUGUUUUUUGCCUGGACUUGAAAGUAAGUGUUCCUGUGCUAUACUGGUAUAACGUUUUGGAGAAUUUGAAGUCUAUCAGGCUCUAUUUUCUAUCCUUAAAAAACAUAAAACUGAGACAGAAUGAUGGAAUCCUCAUGCUGAAAUGUAAUUAUGCAGAAUCGUAGAAACAAAUAAUAUCCAACCUUUACACAAUUAUCUAUCCUAUCCUAAGAAUUUAUGUAAAUGAAAAUCUAUUGUAUAAACGAGAGUGUCUUAUGUAAAUAUAGACCCACGUGAUAGUUUUAACACAUUCACACAAAUAGUAUAUGCUGCCAUGUAGAGUGGGUCACUGCUUAUAUUUUUGACAGUGUAGAUUUAAAUAGCUAUCAGAUAAAUAUGAAAUCUAAUAUACAGAUUAUAUCUAAUAUUUAUUGCUUUGAUACAGAAUAUUAUAGAAAUAUAGAAUACUACUGUAGACAGUUUGCCCUUCAGCAAUCAGUGUAGGCCAGCACCUUCCUUCAGGGAAGUGAAAUGUUAGGUUAACUGGGCCAAAUUCUGAUGAUGCCUGUGAUGCUUUUAUUCUUGAUACAGAGCAGUGUAUACUGAUGUACAGCUGAAUGCAGAAUUUUCCUCACUGUUUAUAUUAAGAUAGAAGUUGUUUAAAUUUUAGGUCAAUCCUAGUUUUAUUUAUAUUUGCGUUAAAUGAUUAAAUAGAUCCAGAUCAACGGAUGUAGCCCAUGUAAGAUAUGAACAGUCACCUGGAGAGGCAAGUUUUUCUCCUGGUCCCAGAGGGAGCCUCUAAUCUUGAGGCUGCUGUCUCAGUGAUUUGGCUAGGUUUCUAAAGCCAAGUAGUAUGAAUCCAAGCCACUGCCUUAAGAUCUCAUGGUGGUAUUCGGAUCUCAUCCACCAGACCAAUAUGCUUGUCUGUCGUGCUCUGUCACAUGAAGGCCCACAAGUAGUGGAGUCCAUUGAAAACUGGCAGAAUAUUAACCUGCCUUGAAUAACAAACAGUAAACAUUUCUGCUGCUGGGGCAUUAUGAAACUGCCAAAAGAACAGAGCUUUCUAUGCUUCUCUGAUUUCUAAUCCGUCUGUUGCCUCCAGCAAUGUGGUAUCCAGGUUUGUUUUGUGGUUGGAGAUAGGCAUUCUUUUCCUAUUGAUGGAGCCUGGCAUGCUCUGUCAACCACACAAAACUUACUUUUUUUCAAAGAGCAGCUAGAGAUUCUUAAUAGUAUGUCAAAAAGAUGUUGUUAAAAUAAUUAUCUAAAAUCCUAGUAUCUUGAGGUCAACUCCUCUCAGAUUUCCUUCCCAGCUGACUGUCAUUUAGUUGCUGUAAAGAACAGGCCCUAGUAAAAAAAAAAGUAUUGAAGGAAUCUUUUCAUAAUUUUACCUGAGAUACACACAUAAAGUCCAGAAUUUGAUUGCUCUAUAUUUCUGAUGGAGUACAGAUGCACCAAGUUUCUUAUUAAAUGAGCUGACUGAAGAAUAUUUAGUUCUUUCCAUUUCUUAGUCAGUAGAUAUCUUCCUGUAAUAGGGCGGCAGCAGCCUUAUACGUAGUUCAGGAAUUCAAGUGGAGCAGCAAGUGUUGUAUAAUGUCCAAAUCUACUUCGACUGACUGUGGACCAAGUUGCCGAUCAGCAUAUCUCCAUGUGAACCAGUGGCGUUAAAUCAACAGAGGGUUUGGUCCUUUCUGUUUUACAGAGGGUUACAGUACUUGUGAAUGGUUUGCAUUCAGGCAGACUAUAUUGAUUGAGGUAAAUGCUACUCAGUUGACUUUUGUUCUUAAUUUCUGAAAGUGUGUUUUUAAAUUCAUGUUUCAGAUUAAUUUAGCAGACACCUUGCUGCAAGCGACAGUCACAUAAAGCAAAAUGACUUUUAAAAGUAAUGGGAUUUAUUUCAUUAGAGAAAGAUAUAUAUGAUAUUUAAUAAACUGGAUACUAGCUUUAGGUCUAGUUUUUGUUGUUCCUGUCUUCCUAUCAAAACAGCUUUCAUGAAUGGCCUGUGUGUGUGCCAAGCACGCAAAAAAGAACAGUGCCUUGAAUAACUCUUGCAAGAUUUUCUACACUAUUAUCUAAUAGACUUUUGUCAUUUUCCUAUAAGAAUUAGUGUAGGGUUUCUUUUUACAGUGAGAAGUACAAUUAAAAGCUGAAGAAAUCCUUUGUAGAAAGUUAAAAUUAGCUUAAAUUAAGGUCUUUCAUUUUGAUGUCUCACAUGAAAAAUGGAGAUAGCAGCACCAAAAUUCCCAAAUUAUGUGUACCUCAGCAUCCACAAUUUUUCCAAAGAUGUUUUGAGUCAUUUAGUAGUUACUAGGGCUGAUUUUACAUAUUUUGGCAAUAUCUUCUGUAUGAGUGUUUCUUUUCCAGUAAUGAGAUUUUCUUUUCUGUCUAACAGUUUAAUACUACACACUCUGCAACAAUGUAUGUUUCACUGUAAUAUUUGGUUCUCAAUUUCAAUAUCAAACUAAUGAAAAAAUAGAAUAUUUGCAAAAUCUGCUUCUUAACAUGUGUAUCUGAAAGUAAGGGUUAGUUUAAAUUAAGCUGCAUUGCUUUCAGCUGAAGAGUUAGCUUUCACAGAAUGUAUUUUAUGUACCCUGUAAGUAAGAGACACCAUUGCUGAAUUUUUCCUGUGCUUUUUCUGAAACCUUUAUUAUGAUCCACAAUAAAAUUUGCACCUGAAAAAUCAA
This 2996-nucleotide long non-coding RNA is filed under the name Strigops habroptila (Kakapo). RNAcentral describes it as "lncRNA (ENSSHBG00005016825.1)". Lineage: Eukaryota; Metazoa; Chordata; Aves; Psittaciformes; Psittacidae. The record is from RNAcentral.